This 16-nucleotide small RNA is filed under the name Arabidopsis thaliana (thale cress). RNAcentral's name for it is "ATSL009720". The record is from RNAcentral. Lineage: Eukaryota; Viridiplantae; Streptophyta; Magnoliopsida; Brassicales; Brassicaceae.
UUGAUGAAACACUCAC